AAUCAUAAUUCCAAGACCUUCCAUAAUAGAAAAUGACAACAAACAUGUGAUAAACCAAAAGUUACAACCCAACUUGUAGUUCCACAAAAAAUAUUAAGUUAAUUAAAGUUGGCCAAGACAAAAGUUAGAAAUAAGUAGCAAGCAGCCAAGCACCAUGAAUAGGUUGACACUAUUUUGUUUAACUGAAGUUCUAAACUAAUCAAUACUCAAAGGGUCACCUGGACAUUCUGGAAAAAAAAACAGUUAUAUGUUAAACAAUAUAAAGAUAGAAUUAAAUUCAUUACGAAUUAAAUAUAUAAAAUUACCUUCUUCAACUUGCUCAAUUUUCUUAAUUUCUUCUAGAUAGUCUUGAAGCUUGCAUUCCUUCUUAGAGAACCUUUAACAUUAAGAGUGAUUUCAUCACAAAUGUAAGUGCAAUAUUGGAUUGAAAGAACACAACUCGUAACAUCAAAUUUCAGGACCAACAAUCUAAGAUAACAAUUAUACCCAAAUUUAAAGGGACAAAAUAACAUAAUUGAUUUAAAUAAAUACUUUAGCUUACCAAAUUGAGUUAGAGCAGUAAGACUAAUAUGUAAUUACAAACUUGAACAGUGGCUCGGAAUUGCAAAGAAGGAAGCUCGUCGUGAAGUGGAUGGAAGGGUUUUCACUAUUUGGGGUUUUUUGACUUUGGAGUUGGAAG
This 679-nucleotide long non-coding RNA is filed under the name Nicotiana tabacum (common tobacco). Its description in RNAcentral is "long non-coding RNA (NTAB_LNC005471)". Lineage: Eukaryota; Viridiplantae; Streptophyta; Magnoliopsida; Solanales; Solanaceae. The record is from RNAcentral.